RNAcentral lists this transfer-messenger RNA (360 nucleotides) under Mycolicibacterium iranicum. RNAcentral describes it as "partial transfer-messenger RNA". It matches the Rfam family "transfer-messenger RNA". From Rfam's summary of the family: Bacterial tmRNA, also known as 10Sa RNA or SsrA, is named for its dual tRNA and mRNA-like properties. Its role is to liberate the mRNA from a stalled ribosome. The record is from RNAcentral. Lineage: Bacteria; Bacillati; Actinomycetota; Actinomycetes; Mycobacteriales; Mycobacteriaceae.
ACGGUUUCGACUUCGCGCAUCGAAUCAAGGGAAGCGUGCCGGUGCAGGCAAGAGACCACCGUAAGCGUCGUUGCGACCAAAUAAGCGCCGAUUCACAUCAGCGCGACUACGCUCUCGCUGCCUAAGCGACGGCUAGUCUGUCAGACCGGGAACGCCCUCGGCCCGGACCCUGGCAUCAGCUAGAGGGAUCCACCGAUGAGUCCGGUCGCGGGACUCCUCGGGACAACCACAGCGACUGGGAUCGUCAUCUCGGCUAGUUCGCGUGACCGGGAGAUCCGAGCAGAGGCAUAGCGAACUGCGCACGGAGAAGCCUUGAGGGAAUGCCGUAGGACCCGGGUUCGAUUCCCGGCAGCUCCACCG